AUGUCGAGAGGACUAAUAGCUGAAACCACAAUCUCUCCUGUACAAGAUGAAGUCAGUAGAACAGAAGGACAAUCGGUCACACUCAGAUGCAACUAUGAGACAACCAGUGAUUAUGCAAACCUUUACUGGUACAAACAUCAUUCUUACCUUCAGGCUCCUCAGUUUAUACUUUGGAAAGCAGGAAAAGGAUACACAGCUGAAAAUAUUCCUGAUAAACGUAAAUAUGGAUCCCAAACAUCAGACACAUCAACUACAUUGACCAUCAGAGAGCUAACCCUGGCAGACACAGCUCUCUACUACUGUGCUUGGUGA
Stegastes partitus (bicolor damselfish) is the source of this 312-nucleotide non-coding RNA. The record is from the annotation of a RefSeq genome assembly. Lineage: Eukaryota; Metazoa; Chordata; Actinopteri; Pomacentridae.